RNAcentral lists this transfer RNA (72 nucleotides) under Pangasianodon gigas (Mekong giant catfish). Its description in RNAcentral is "tRNA-Glu". It matches the Rfam family "tRNA". Rfam says of the family: Transfer RNA (tRNA) molecules are approximately 80 nucleotides in length. Their secondary structure includes four short double-helical elements and three loops (D, anti-codon, and T loops). The record is from RNAcentral. Lineage: Eukaryota; Metazoa; Chordata; Actinopteri; Siluriformes; Pangasiidae.
UCCCUGGAGGACUAGCGGUUAGGCCUCGGCGCUCUCACCGCUGUGGCCUGGGUUUGAUUCCUGGCCAGGGAA